GUAUCCUGGCUCAGAUUGAACGCUGGCGGCAGGCCUAACACAUGCAAGUCGAACGGUAACAGGAAGCAGCUUGCUGCUUUGCUGACGAGUGGCGGACGGGUGAGUAAUGUCUGGGAAACUGCCUGAUGGAGGGGGAUAACUACUGGAAACGGUAGCUAAUACCGCAUAACGUCGCAAGACCAAAGAGGGGGGACCUUGGCCUCUUGCCAUCGGAUGUGCCCAGAUGGGAUUAGCUAGUAGGG
RNAcentral lists this ribosomal RNA (242 nucleotides) under uncultured bacterium. RNAcentral's name for it is "partial 16S ribosomal RNA". It matches the Rfam family "Bacterial small subunit ribosomal RNA", at positions 14 to 253 of the family's 1533-position model. The record is from RNAcentral.